GAUGAACGCUGGCGGCGUGCCUAAUACAUGCAAGUCGAGCGAACAGACGCUGCUCUUGCUCCUCUCUCGUUAGCCGCAGGCGGGUGUGUAACACGUGUAUAACCUACCUAUCAUUCUGGUAUAUCUUCGGGAAACCGGAUCUAAUCCCGGAUAAUAUAUUGAACCGUGUUGUUCGAUAGUGAGAUUCGGUUUUUCUGUCACUUAUAGAUGGAUCCCCGCCUCAUUAGCUAGUUGUUAAGGUAACGGGCUACCACGGCGACGAUGCGUAGCCGAACUGAGAGAGUGAUAGGCGACACUGGAAGUGAGACAGGGUCAAGACUACUACGGGAGGCAGCAGAAGGGAACGUUACGCAAUGGGCGAAAGCUUGACGGAACAACGGCGCGUGAGUGAUGAAGGUCUUCGGAUCGUAAAAAUCUGUUAUUAGGGAAGAACAAAUGUGUAAGUAAAUAUGCACGUAUUGACGGUAACUAAUAAGAAAGCAACGGCUAACUACGUG
Molecule: ribosomal RNA, 497 nt
Filed under: uncultured bacterium
Lineage: Bacteria
Description: partial 16S ribosomal RNA
Rfam family: Bacterial small subunit ribosomal RNA
Source: RNAcentral